Molecule: ribosomal RNA, 522 nt
Filed under: uncultured bacterium
Lineage: Bacteria
Description: bacterial SSU rRNA
Rfam family: Bacterial small subunit ribosomal RNA
Source: RNAcentral
AGAGUUUGAUCAUGGCUCAGGAUGAACGCUGGCGGCGUGCUUAACACAUGCAAGUCGAACGAAGCACUCUAUUUGAUUUUCUUCGGAAAUGAAGAUUUUGUGACUGAGUGGCGGACGGGUGAGUAACGCGUGGGUAACCUGCCUCAUACAGGGGGAUAACAGUUGGAAACGACUGCUAAUACCGCAUAAGCGCACAGUACUGCAUGGUACGGUGUGAAAAACUCCGGUGGUAUGAGAUGGACCCGCGUCUGAUUAGCCAGUUGGCGGGGUAACGGCCCACCAAAGCGACGAUCAGUAGCCGACCUGAGAGGGUGACCGGCCACAUUGGGACUGAGACACGGCCCAAACUCCUACGGGAGGCAGCAGUGGGGAAUAUUGCACAAUGGGGGAAACCCUGAUGCAGCGACGCCGCGUGAGCGAAGAAGUAUUUCGGUAUGUAAAGCUCUAUCAGCAGGGAAGAAAAAAUGACGGUACCUGACUAAGAAGCACCGGCUAAAUACGUGCCAGCCGCCGCGGUAAUUC